CGCGUCUUGGUUAUUGAUGUUGGAUGCUUGCAUUUAACUGAUUUCCAUUGAGACGAGUGGCGAACUGGUGAGUAACACGUGGGUAACCUGCCCUUGAAGUAGGGGAUAACACUUGGAAACAGGUGCUAAUACCGUAUAACAACCAAAACCACCUGGUUUUGGUUUAAAAGAUGGCUUCGGCUAUCACUUUAGGAUGGACCCGCGGCGUAUUAGCUUGUUGGUAAGGUAACGGCCUACCAAGGCAAUGAUACGUAGCCGACCUGAGAGGGUAAUCGGCCACAUUGGGACUGAGACACGGCCCAAACUCCUACGGGAGGCAGCAGUAGGGAAUCUUCCACAAUGGACGAAAGUCUGAUGGAGCAACGCCGCGUGAGUGAUGAAGGGUUUCGGCUCGUAAAACUCUGUUGUUGGAGAAGAACAGGUGUGAGAGUAACUGUUCACAUCUUGACGGUAUCCAACCAGAAAGCCACGGCUAACUACGUGCCAGCAGCCGCGGUAAUACGUAGGUGGCAAGCGUUGUCCGGAUUUAUUGGGCGUAAAGCGAGCGCAGGCGGUUUCUUAGGUCUGAUGUGAAAGCCUUCGGCUUAACCGGAGAAGUGCAUCGGAAACCAGGAGACUUGAGUGCAGAAGAGGACAGUGGAACUCCAUGUGUAGCGGUGAAAUGCGUAGAUAUAUGGAAGAACACCAGUGGCGAAGGCGGCUGUCUGGUCUGUAACUGACGCUGAGGCUCGAAAGCAUGGGUAGCGAACAGGAUUAGAUACCCUGGUAGUCCAUGCCGUAAACGAUGAGUGCUAAGUGUUGGAGGGUUUCCGCCCUUCAGUGCUGCAGCUAACGCAUUAAGCACUCCGCCUGGGGAGUACGACCGCAAGGUUGAAACUCAA
This 881-nucleotide ribosomal RNA is filed under the name uncultured bacterium. Its description in RNAcentral is "bacterial SSU rRNA". It matches the Rfam family "Bacterial small subunit ribosomal RNA", at positions 43 to 904 of the family's 1533-position model. The record is from RNAcentral.